GUCCUUUUGAUAAUAAUUUAAGGUCUAAUCUGCUCAAUGAAGGGUUAAAUAGCCGCAGUAUUUUGACUGUGCGAAGGUAGCAUAAUAAUUAGUCUUUUUAUUGAGGACUUGUACGAAUGAUUGAACAAGAAAAUUUCUGUCUCUUUUUAAUUUUUUUUUGAAUUUAAUUUUUGAGUUAAAAUGCUCAAAUGUUUAUAAAAGACGAGAAGACCCCAUAGAGUUUUAUUUUUAUAUGUUUUUAGUAUAAUUAUUAAAAUUAAAAAAUUAGUUGGGGUGAACUAGAAGAUUAAAUAAACUCUUUAAAUUAAAAUCAUUGAUUUAUGAAUAUAAAUUCUAAUUUUUUUUAAGUUUAAAUUAAAUUACCUUGGGGAUAACAGCGUAAUUUCUUUUUAGAGUUCUUAUCAAAUAAGAAGAUUGCGACCUCGAUGUUGGAUUAAAAUUUAUUUUGGGUGUAGAAGCUUAAAAAUUAAGUCUGUUCGACUUUUAAAAUUUU
Molecule: ribosomal RNA, 493 nt
Filed under: Pyrocoelia fumosa
Lineage: Eukaryota; Metazoa; Arthropoda; Insecta; Coleoptera; Lampyridae
Description: partial 16S rRNA
Rfam family: Bacterial large subunit ribosomal RNA (bases 370-493)
Source: RNAcentral